GAUGGCGGUCUAACGCAUGCAGUCGAACGGGGGUUUUGGGUAACUGAGACCCUAGUGGCAAACGGGUGAGUAACACGUGGGUAACCUACCUCGAAGUGGGGAAUAACGACCCGAAAGGGUCGCUAAUACCGCAUACAGUCGAAAGAGCAAAGUCAUACGCAAGUGUGACGCUUUGAGAGGGGCCUGCGGCCCAUCAGGUAGUUGGCAGGGUAAUAGCCUACCAAGCCGAUGACGGGUAGCUGAUCUGAGAGGAUGACCAGCCACACUGGCACUGAGACACGGGCCAGACUCCUACGGGAGGCAGCAGCGAGGAAUAUUGCGCAAUGGGCGAAAGCCUGACGCAGUAACGCCGCGUGCGGGAAGAAGGCCUUCGGGUCGUAAACCGCUUUUCGGAGGGACGAGUGAGGACGGUACCUCUGGAAUAAGUCUCGGCUAACUACGUGCCAGCAGCCGCGGUAAAACGUAGGAGGCAAGCGUUAUCCGGAUUCACUGGGCGUAAAGCGCGUGUAGGUGGUUCGUUAAGUCGCUGGUGAAAGCCCCUGGCUCAACUGGGGGAGGUCUAGCGAAACUGGCGGACUCGAGGGUCCGAGAGGAAGGUGGAAUUCCCGGUGUAGCGGUGGAAUGCGUAGAGAUCGGGAGGAACACCAGUGGCGAAGGCGGCCUUCUGGCGGGCAUCUGACACUGAAACGCGAAAGCGUGGGGGGCAAACGGGAUUAGAUACCCCGGUAGUCCACGCCCUAAACGAUGCACGCUAGGUGUUGGUGGGAUUUCCCAUCCGUGCCGUAGCGAACGCGUUAAGCCUGCCG
RNAcentral lists this ribosomal RNA (806 nucleotides) under uncultured bacterium. RNAcentral's name for it is "bacterial SSU rRNA". It matches the Rfam family "Bacterial small subunit ribosomal RNA", at positions 38 to 871 of the family's 1533-position model. The record is from RNAcentral.